Cucurbita pepo subsp. pepo (vegetable marrow) is the source of this 228-nucleotide non-coding RNA. The record is from RefSeq and is a predicted model, not a curated record. NCBI's taxonomy places the organism in Eukaryota, Viridiplantae, Streptophyta, Magnoliopsida, Cucurbitales, Cucurbitaceae.
AUUUUGGGAUAUGCCUAUCCUGCUUAUGAGUGUUACAAAACUGUCGAAACCAGUCAGCCACAGAUUGAGCAACUUCAUUAUUGGUGUCAGUACUGGAUUCUGGUGGCCAUAUUGACGAUUCUAGAGAGAAUUGGUGAUUCUUUUAUUUCAUGGUUUCCAUUCUACAAUGAAGCAAAGUUGGCCUUCUUCGUUUAUCUGUGGCAUCCAAAAACAAAGGUAUGAGGAAGG